GCCGGACACCAGCUGCUGGCCGACCAGCUGCGUCGCGCCAUGGAGUUGUCCAACCUCUCCAGCAUCAUCCCAAAAGUCGAGGAGUGGUCACAGAUGACCGAGGAAGACUUGCACAACAGCUUGACUGAAUACCUGAAACCUGACAGCCCGGGUCUCGAAGGCCAGGCACGAGAGGCCCCGGACUCGCCCCAGUACGACAUAGCUGUCGACGACAGGAGGGCGGCGUGGGAUUUCUCCGGUGCAGUAUUGAUCCCUAUGUCUAGAAUGUGGCUGUUUCCUUCUGCCUCUCGACCCUGGCCCUGCCGUCUCUUUUGCUGUCUUGAUGUCUGGCUCGCUGCAACACUUUUGCCAUCCGAUAUAUCAUAACUGAGUCAGUCUUGAAAUUGCGAAAAUUUGAACGUAAAUCUGGCCAGAAGCUGUCAAGCUUGACAACUUCCCACAUUCCUCCUUGCAGACGACACAGCUCUCGAAUUGGUUUGCUCUGCUCGGUGUAAAGCCUCAACCUCCGCCAGCUGCAAAAGUGGUGAUCCUACGUC
This is a long non-coding RNA of Pollicipes pollicipes, 536 nucleotides long. RefSeq lists it as uncharacterized. The record is from RefSeq and is a predicted model, not a curated record. The transcript is spliced from 3 exons. Lineage: Eukaryota; Metazoa; Arthropoda; Thecostraca; Pollicipedomorpha; Pollicipedidae.